RNAcentral lists this ribosomal RNA (514 nucleotides) under uncultured freshwater bacterium. Its description in RNAcentral is "bacterial SSU rRNA". It matches the Rfam family "Bacterial small subunit ribosomal RNA", at positions 8 to 570 of the family's 1533-position model. The record is from RNAcentral.
AGAGUUUGAUCCUGGCUCAGAGCGAACGCUGGCGGCAGGCCUAACACAUGCAAGUCGAGCGCCCAGCAAUGGGAGCGGCAGACGGGUGAGUAACGCGUGGGGAUCUGCCCAAUGGUACGGAAUAACCCAGGGAAACUUGGACUAAUACCGUAUGUGCCCUUCGGGGGAAAGAUUUAUCGCCAUUGGAUGAACCCGCGUCGGAUUAGCUAGUUGGUGAGGUAAAGGCUCACCAAGGCGACGAUCCGUAGCUGGUCUGAGAGGAUGAUCAGCCACACUGGGACUGAGACACGGCCCAGACUCCUACGGGAGGCAGCAGUGGGGAAUAUUGGACAAUGGGCGCAAGCCUGAUCCAGCCAUGCCGCGUGUGUGAUGAAGGCCUUAGGGUUGUAAAGCACUUUCGCCGGUGAAGAUAAUGACGGAAACCGGAGAAGAAGCCCCGGCUAACUUCGUGCCAACAGCCGCGGUAAUACGAAGGGGGCAAGCGUUGCUCGGAAUCACUGGGCGAAAAGCGCAC